RNAcentral lists this ribosomal RNA (253 nucleotides) under uncultured bacterium. RNAcentral describes it as "partial 16S ribosomal RNA". It matches the Rfam family "Bacterial small subunit ribosomal RNA", at positions 524 to 776 of the family's 1533-position model. The record is from RNAcentral.
UACGGGGGGGGCAAGCGUUGUUCGGAAUUACUGGGCGUAAAGGGCUCGUAGGUGGCCAACUAAGUCAGACGUGAAAUCCCCAGGCUCAACUUGGGAACUGCGUCUGAUACUGGAUGGCUUGAAUUCGGGAGAGGGAUGCAGAAUUCCAGGUGUAGCGGUGAAAUGCGUAGAUAUCUGGAGGAAUACCGGUGGCGAAGGCGGCAUCCUGGACCGACAUUGACGCUGAACGGCGAAAGCUAGGGGAGCAAACGGG